This 21403-nucleotide long non-coding RNA is filed under the name Phoenix dactylifera (date palm). RNAcentral's name for it is "long non-coding RNA (PDAC_LNC000065)". The record is from RNAcentral. Lineage: Eukaryota; Viridiplantae; Streptophyta; Magnoliopsida; Arecales; Arecaceae.
AGCUUCCGAUGUUGGAAAGCUGUUCUCAAGUAUUUCACUCAAGUAAUUUUAGGGUGGUGAACCUAUUAUUAUUCUCAAAAAAAAAAAAGACAAAAAAACAAAAAAUGUUGACUGGGUUGGAUGUUUUCAUGAAUGCAUCAAAUUAGAAAACUUAUAGUUAAGGUCAGCAAACGGAAUCUUGAUCGGACUUUUGUGUGAUCAUUGGUCAUGUAUGGUCCAUUUCUUAUAUCCUUCCAUACGGUGUCAGAGUAUUAAUUAAAACCGUAUUAGUAGAAAGAAAGCUUUACCAAAGAUGAAUAAUAAUGGAUUUGAAGAUUCGCAUUGCUUCAAUUUGAUUAGGCACUGCAGCAGCUUCCAGCACAUCGAAAAUUGUUUAAAUUAGAUUUUUUUUAGUAAGAAAGGUGCUAAUUUAUUGAUUAAUGUAAGAUUUUUAAGGUGAUUUGCAUGUCAUUGCUCAUAGCCCAUCUUGUAACAUGCCUCGACAACCUUUCAUGGAAGUUUUACUAACAGCCUGCACGUCCAAAACGAAACCUGCAUCUAAGAAUACUCCAGAUUAAAAAAUUAUGAGUAUUUGGAAAAAAAAGAAUUCAAAUGAGUUGUGGGCAUCUUUCUAAAUAACCAUUCUGAAUUACAUGAUGAAGCAGACAAGACUUAAUAGUUUUAUCAUGAUAUUGUGAUUUAUGACAAAAAAGCUGAUGCAUUCUUAUGAAUUAGGGUAGGUGGAAACCUGUCCUAGAAUCGAGGUGCGUGUGGGAUUGAAUCCAGGUCUCUUGCAUCAAUGAAUAUUACUAGCUAAACAAAUUAGCACCAUCAACUGGAAAUCAAGUGAAGACCCAUGGGAGGGCAAAGAAAAGAAGCAUAAUUGCCUAUGCUUGGGAGACCACCCUGAUCUCAAUUGAUAUCAAGCAACAAAUGAAACAUAUUCAUGAAAAAAUCCCCCACUCUUACCCUGAAUUCCAAGUGGAGUGUACUGAAAUUAACAUUUGCAUCAAAGUUUGCUGGAACCUUGAUAGGAAGAACGGACAACUUGUGUUAAUAUUGUUGGAGUCUCUCAUGACCUUGGAGGGACCGAAGGGUAAAAGAAACAUGUCAUAAAAAUAAAUAAAUCAUUGGAACCACAUCUGAAGCAAGUGCACAAACAAGGCAUAAAAAAAUAUAUAUGUAUCAUAUGAGAAGUGAAACACUCGCAGAAAGAAUAAAUGGAAGCUACCAAAAUACCAGCUUAUCGUAUCCGACGUUCUGUGCUUGGCGUGACAUUUCCAAGGUGUUCCCUUAGUUUGGAUUGAGGGAAAAAAACAAAACAAAACGAAAAAAAAUCAAACCUGUUGUCACAAACAAGUAACCUGGGACAAAGUUCUUGUAAUAAUAGAAGAUAACAUUAAAUUGGAUGACUAAUGAUUGUUAUCAGCUGGAGGAUGGUGUCUUAAUCCCAUAGAGGGGCGCUUAGAAGGGAAGCUUGACACAAGGUGAUAUCCAGAAAGGAACCUAUUACUUCUUGCCCUGGCAAGAAACGAAUAAACGAACCAACAUUGUUUCAAGGAAAUAGAAUGUCCCAAGUGCCAUUAUAUCAAGAAAUGGAUGCAUUACGACAAAAAAAAAGAUGAGUGACAUCCAAGUCAUACCAAACUAGAGAUGUACUCUAGCAUUAUGAGACAUGAUAAUUGAAAAAAUCUUCAUCAUGAAAACAUAGUAACAACAAUGCCCAAACAAAGUUGGGACUGUUUGACCCCAUCUUCUUGUUUUCUUAAUAUCUUCUAUAGGUUUUAUGUCUUUUUUCCCAAACACUGAUCGUGCAACCACCAGCAAUAAUGAGUGAAAAAACAGCAUUAAUUUCUCUUCCUGGAGACCUAUGAUGCGACUCCACACCAUUUACUGAUAAUCCAUCCAUUUGCUGCUUCCAAUGCAUGGCUUCCAUAGACAUAAGAAUGCAGUGAUUAACUGCAGUUGGUUAGCAUCAGUUAGUGCAGGUCAAGGGAGUGGGUUGUAGCAAAAGUGGCAUGAAUCAUGGAUUUCCCUCAGUGAAGAUCCCACCAUGGAUUUCCCUUAAUAAUCGGGGGCCAAAUGAUAGUUCACUAUCUACUGCAGUUAAGGAUUUUUCAAAAAUUGAUGUGGUUUUCAAGAUUCAGGAAGCUUAUCUACAACAAAAGAGAGGAUAUAACAUCUCCGGCUGAACAUCAUCCAUAAUCCUAGUCAUGGUCUUACCGAGAAUUAAGGGCAUAUGUCAGGCAGAUGUCCUUAAUAUAUGUUAAAGACAGAUGUUAAGUCUCACCAAAAAAAAGACAUGUCAAGCUAUUUCAAGAAUCAAAUUCCAUGCUAGGAAAUACAAGAAUCAAAUCUCUGACCACCAAGAAGCUCAGCUACAUCUCUACCCAACAACAUUUUUCUCUAACUAUAACUAACAUAAUUAGACAAAGAAGAUAUUAAGCUGUUUGGCUGGAAGUUAUCAGAUAUCAGUAACAAGAUGACAAAACACUCGAGCAUCAAUAGGAAAUCCUCUCUAAUAUGUUCAUAGAAGAUGGCCUUGCAUCCCACCUACCAACAGCGAACAGAGAGAAUUCCAAGAAAUCAACUCAAAGUAGCAGAAAUCUCUAAUGCUAUAAUAAGCUAAACCUGUUAACAGAAUGCAACGACAUAUACAUUUGCAUAAGCUUCAUAGUUAUAAGGAAACAACAGAGUUAGCUUUCAAGUUUGUGUAUACAGAUCACAGCAACCGCUCAUGAUGGGAAGGAUUCAGCACCAAAGGGAACACAAAAAAUCAGCUAGGGAAUUGACUUUGCAAAACUGCAUGUGAGCAAUAAUCACAUGUAGGGAAUUUAACAAUCCUUGGCACAUGAAUACUUGUCCAUGUUUCAUCAACAGUAAGAUAGGAAAAAAUUAUCAGACUGUCUCACAACUCUUUCACAUAAACCUAAAUUCAUCCCCAUUAAUUUCAAAGCAAUAAUGAGAGCAACCAAACAUCAAGCAGAGCAUCAAUAUUACCAGUUCAGGUUACACCUUUCCACCAUAUUUUUGCAAAUUCCUGUGAUCCCCACAAGUCAAAACAUAUUAUUUUAAAUUAUAUCUCUGUCUAAUAUUAUCAAAAGCACAUUUAUGAACUUCAAUUCUCUAUAGCACUUUUGAGUUCCAAAUGAAAUGAUAAGUGCUUCAGCUCUAACUGUCAAAGGUCACUUCAGCCAAAACAGUCAAGGAUAAUGUAAUCUCAAAUCCCAGCAAAAGAAACAUGCAAAAAAAAUAUUUAAUGGAACCUGGUUACCUGGACACUUGCAUCCAACCACUAGAAUCUGUGUCCAAGUAUAUACCCAUAUCAGAUCCACAUCAGACACUGAGGCCUUGUUCGAGAUUGUUGCUGUUAAAGAGUUUUUGGAAAUAGAGCUUUUACAAAAAGAUGUUUGCUGUUUAGUGACUAUAAAUAAUAUUGUAAUAUAAUUUAAUAUUAUUACAAUUAAAAUGUAAUAUAAUAUUAUACAAUAUGGUAUAAUAAUAUGAUAUGGUAUCAUAUAAGAUAAUAUAUAAUACUAUUACAAUAUAUUGCAAUAAAUACUAUAUUAUAGUAUAAUAUUAUAUUAUGAUAUGAUACGAUACGAUAUGAUAAUAAAUUAUUACAUAGUAUAAUAUUAUUAUAAUGUAAUGUAAUGUAAUAUUACUAUAAUAUAAUAUAUUAUAUUAUAUUGCAUAGAAUAACAAUAUAAUAAGAUAUGAUAUAGUAGUGUAUUAUUAUAUUAUUAUAAUAAUAUAAUGUGCUUACGGAAUUUGUUUAUGGGCAUUUUAGUCACUACGAAAUUUUUAUUAGAACAAAAAUUAAGAUUCGUUGUACCAGACUUGUAUCGGUUGUCUGGUAGUACAGUACGAUAUUGUGCCAUUCCAUUUCGAGCUGUACCGACACAGCCAGAGCCGGCGAAGGAGAAGAAGAGAGAAGAAAAGCGAGAGGGAUGGAGAGGGAGUGGGAGGAAGUGAGGGAGAUAGAGAGAGGAAAAGCCCUAGUCUCCUCAGGUGUUGGUUGCCCACAAAGUUUGUCCUUGUUUCAAAAUGAAAUAGGGGCUCCGCUCCUAAAUUAUUUUUUGUGAUCUCUUAAGUGAAGUUGGCAACAAAAUGUUGGGCGCUCAUUCGACCAUCUCAUGUGAGAUGGAAAAUUGGGAUUAAGCAUAUGAUUAAGAGUCCAACGAAAACAGCAAAGGUGGGAUUAGCUCUAUCAUCAACAAAAGUUGACACUUUGCUUUAUCAUUAAUGGAGCCCUAUUAAGUGAAAAAAAAAGAAGGAAAUAUUGGGAAUUGCAAUUUGACCUAGUAGGGAAACAGAAAAGGAUAGAGAUUCUCAAGAAAACAAACUGAAAGGGGAAAACCAAGGUCACUGCUCCCAUGCUGCCAUGGUGCUUGUGAAAUGGCUGAAUUAUACCCAGACCCCACCUAAAAUCUCCUACCCCUUGUGUAUUGCACCAACUCCUAACUGUGAAGCAAAACUGUGAACAGAGCAGUGAUUGGUAGCAAUGCUAGUGAUAAAAAAUAAGUCAUCUGGAAGUGAUAAGAAAGGUAAGAGAGAUGGAUUAGUGCACACCUAGGCUUCCUCAUGCCUUACGAUUCAUAGUUUUCUUUGUCCAUUGUAUUUUGUCGAGACAACGUCUUUCUUUAAUCACAAUCAUCCAACCCUUCUCUCACAUGCAACACACAAACUGAAUGCUAGUGCCACCAAGAGACAACAAGCUUCUAAUUGCCACUUGAUGGGUGCACAUCAGCACAAGUAGAUCCACUGAGCUAACAAUAACCAAUCCUUGCAGUCAUCACUAGCUCUAACAUAUGUUGCUAGCAUCAAUGCGUCAACCCUUCUGUACAUGUUCUUCCUUAGAACUCACCAAUUAAGAUUCAAAUAUAGAUGACUAAGCAAUAUCUUAUAAUGUACAAACUAGUGGUGAAGAUGAAAGCCAAACAAGUCCAAGAUAGUUACUAACAAUUAUAUAUUUAAAGUUAGACAGUAUCAUCUACAACAGAUGAAUUAUUCCAUAUGCAAAAGUGUCCCAUAACAUACCAAGUUAUCCACGGACAUAAACAAAAGUUUAUGAACCUAUCUCCCUGGAUACCUAAGGGACCAACAUGUCCAAUAAACCUCAUUCGUCAGUUUCAUAAUUUCAUACUAGUGAAAUAUAGAUUAGUAGCAACAACUAGUUAGAAAAAGAAGCUUCUUUUUUAAUGCUUUAAACUGAAGGGCUUUUACCGUCCUUUCACUGGUGUUGUUGCAAUUUAGGUGCCUUUGUUUGUCAAAGAAGUGUAAACACUAACGAUAUCACAUAAAUAGAUAAAUUCAAUACCCUACUUUGCGCUAAAAAGAAGUGAUCAAUAUUGACACCAGAAAGCCAAGCAUUCACAAGAAUGAAGAACAAGUAACUAAACAAUGACUAUAUCACUCAGUUCACUGUCAUCAGCGGAGAUCAUCAUUAACUUGCUAUAAAAUCAUCAAAACUAGGCUUAUGCUAACAAAGCAUGAAAAUAAACAAACUACAUCCAUAGGUAGAACGAUGUACAGAACCCCAAGACAAAAACGGGAAAUAAAAUAUGACGAAAGUUCAAAUAAAUACUAAUAAAACGACCGACCCAUCCUCUCAGUUCAGUUCCUGACCGCAUUCUCAAGAACCAACCUCAAGCGCCGGGCCAGGACGUCCAUCUCCGCAACCCGCUGCUCCCGCCACCUCCUCAACAACUCGCUCUCUUCAGAAACAGACGUCAAAUCGCAGUCCGGGCGGUCAUGCAGCCCCUGCUGGGCCAGAGUCGCCUGCAGCUCCUUCAGGCACCCAUCAAACACAUCCAAGAUGGUUCUCGCCACCAGAUGUCCAGGCCCCUCCUUGCCAGAAACAUCGCUGUUUGUCGGCAAAGGCUCCUCCUUUACGAGCACAGGGUGAACAUCGACCAGAUUUGCAUCGUCAAAGUGGCUCUUUUUGUUGGCAGAGGGGACGGAAAGGGGAAGGGGAGGGGGAGGGGGAGGCGUGGCUUCGGCGGGGAGGGCGCGCGGGGGAGUGGGAGGCGCGGGGAGGGAGGGAAGGGCGGGCGGGGGAGGGGGAGGGAGUGAAAGCUGGGGGGUAGGGGGAGCCUCGGCGCGGGAACGGGUGAGGGGCGAGGCGGGAGGGGUCCUGGCCGCGGGCGAUGCGGCCGGACAUGAUGCGGAACUUCUUGCGGAGGCGGCGGAGCUUCUCGGAGAGCUGGGACCGGUUGUAGGGCUGGGGCAUCGACUCCGAGAAGCGAUCGUAGAAAAGAUUCAGGUCGCGGGGGAAGACCAUGCCCUGGGACCAGCAGCCGAGGAGGCCCUGUAGGAAGCGGAUCUCGUCGGACUCGGACCAAAUCCGGUGGAACUUGAAGGGAGGGGAGCGCAGAUCGCCGGCUGCCGCAGCGCCCCCGGGCCGCCUUCGACGCCGGCCGCGGAGGAGGCCGGUCCGUAUUCGGAUUCAUCGUCGUCUUCGGCGUCAUCGUCGUCGUCGUCGUCGUAGUCGUAGCCGUUGUCGGAGGGGAGGGCGGGGAGGGGGCAUCGGGUUCGAGCUUGGGGGCGAGGGGGACGGAGUCGUGGGUGGGGUUGGGGUCAGAAGAGGGCUUUCGCUUGAUGGGGAGUUUGCGAGCGGCCGACUUGAUGUGGAGGGUUGGGGUCGGGGUGGCCAUGGCGCGCCUGCUUGCGCGCAGGAGAUGGGAUGGAUUUGGGGCGAGGGUUGGGGGAGUAGGGGUGGGGUGAGGCAGGAUAGCGGGGGAGUGAGAUUGGAUUUGGAUCCGAUGCAGGGGCGACGGAUGGGGCACGGGGGUUGGGGCGGCGGCGCUUGUUGCCUCCGCUGCCGGGGGCGGCGGCAUCGGGAGCGGAGAAGGGAGAGGAGGAGGCGUAGGAAGGGUGCCAGAGGCGGGUGCAGAGGUGGAGGAGGUCGCGGUCAUGCGGNNNNNNNNNNNNNNNNNNNNNNNNNNNNNNNNNNNNNNNNNNNNNNNNACGGAACUUCUUGCGGAGACGGCGGAGCUUCUCGGAGAGCUGGGAUCGGGUGUACGGCUGGGGCAUCGACUCCGAGAAACGAUCAUAGAAAAGAUUCAGGUCGCGAGGGAAGACCAUGCCCUGGGACCAGCAACCGAGGAGGCCCUGAAGGAAGCGGAUCUCGUCGGACUCGGACCAAAUCCGGUGGAACUUGAAGGGAGGGGAGCGCAGAUCGCCGGCUGCCGCAGCGCCCCCGGGGCCGCCUUCGACGCCGGCCGCGGAGGAGGCCGGUCCGUAUUCGGAUUCAUCGUCGUCUUCGGCGUCAUCGUCGUCGUCGUCGUCGUAGUCGUAGCCGUUGUCGGAGGGGAGGGCGGGGAGGGGGGCAUCGGGUUCGAGCUUGGGGGCGAGGGGGACGGAGUCGUGGGUGGGGUUGGGGUCAGAAGAGGGCUUUCGCUUGAUGGGGAGUUUGCGAGCGGCCGACUUGAUGUGGAGGGUUGGGGUCGGGGUCGGGGUCGGGGUGGCCAUGGCGCGCCUGCUGGCUGGAGACGGAUGGAUUGGAAGCGAGGCGAAUGGGGGAAAGGGUGGGGUGAGGCGAGAUAGCGGGGAGUAGGGCUGGAUCUGGAUCCCUUCCUCGGGCGAGGGUGUGGGUGGGUUGGCGCAGCCUGGGUAGGAGACGGUACAGAAGGGUGGGGUUGUUAGGGAUUGGGAUUUGGGGGGUGGUGGGGGGAGGACACGGAGAGGAAAGCGAGGGCGAGGCCGAGGCCGCUUGGUUCCUUGGUGGACUAGGAUUUCUUUGAUGGCCCGUGGGCCCAAGCGCGACUCGGCUGAGCCUCCUCUUCCUCAUAAAAGAUGACGCUCCAAUGGGAUUUUUAUUUGUACUUCGUCAAAAUUGUUGCCGACUUAUAUUAGGGUGUUUAAACUCUCAGAAAUUUGGGUUGUUUACAACUAACUCUCUUCCCUAUUCUGACACUAUACUUCUGUUUUCUGCAGUUCAAUUUUUUUUAAAAAAGUACAUGGGUCUAAUCUCCAUCUUCUAUUUUAGAAAACUAUCUCACCUUCAAAAACCUGACUCCAAUCAAGAUUGAACCAAUGAUACCAUACAGGCAUGCGGUCAUUAUGGUUCGACCUUUUUAUUUUAGUAUAUGUGCAAUAUGCAUAGCUCGCUGAUACCCUAGACCCCUCAUAAAAGCAUGGUCGAGAUCAAAAAUCUAGAUAGCGGAUCGAAACUUAAAUGGCCUAAAUAUAAUCUAAAUCAAAAUCUAAAUGUCAACAAGGACCUAUCUUACCAAUGAAACAUUUAGUUAGAAAUUUCUCUGUUUCUAGUAGAACUAGAUUUGAAAAGUAAAGCCCUAGUUUCCUCAAAAAAAAAAAAAAAGAAAUGGUAUGUCCUGGAGAUGCUUAGUUACUCCAGCAUCCGGUAUGGCAAAUGCUAAACCGUAGCCUAGUUCAAACAUGGUCCCGCCAAUGCCUAAAAUUUAGGCCAACGGCAUAUUUACAUAUCUACUUAGCAAUCUCUUGCAUGCACAUCCGAGACCAGAAAUUUGGUUGUUAGUGGUUGCAUACUAACCGGAACCCUUUGUGCUUUGAGAAAUAAGACUUCGGACAGCUUCGAGAUCUUUGCAGUGCGGGUGAUCCAAUAGUAGAUUCGUGCAAAAAAAAGGGAAUCCUUCUUUCCACGAAAGAUACAACCCUGAUCCAUGACAACCAUAAGAAACUAGCGUGAAGUAUGCAAAAAAGAAAGAAAGAAAAGAAACUAGCAUAAUAUAUUCAUGCACCAAAUCUCCACUAAGAUUCACAAUCCCCUGGUUGCUGCCAUGUGAGUUUGAUUAUAACUUCAAAUCUACUGGCGGCAACGACGAAAGCAAAAACUACUGCUCAACGAACUCAGUCCCACACACCAACCAUAUUCCAUGCAAUCGAGCACAAAUCUCACAGGAUCCGAGACAAGAAAUACACAAUUCACUUAGAUUGCUAAACCGUAACAAUGAGUUUCGCACCUGAGUUAGAUUGCUUCACUUGUUCUCUUCGAUUUCAAGCAUGCCUCAGUAAGUUGUUUGUACAUGGUAGCUCAACCCUCCUUGCAAGAACGGCCCGAUGCCUGAGAUGACAAAUCCUGCAGUCCCUCUCAAUUUAGUCAUUCUUCGCCUUAAUCUCUAAAUUCACAAACACACUCUCACUGAACAGGGAAACAUCUGCAGGGCCUGGAAUUCCUUCUACAAAUAUAGUAUUUAAGCUCAUGGAACUCUUUUCAAAUAAUUAAUCACCAUAGAUUGGCAGAGCUCAUUCAUCAGCCAAAUAAUGUUUUUAAAGGAAAAAGAUCUUCUAAUGCCACUAGUCACCACCAGGCAUUGCAUGUCUCGUGAUUGGCAUGAUGGCCAUGGUUGAAUAGGAUCCACCAUGGUACAUGUGCUAUAUGCGGAAGACUGGCUCACUUUAAUUCAUGGGGCUGGAGAGGAUGCGAAUCUAAAAGCAAAAGAGUUCAGCACACAUUCACACAGAGGAUAAAUAAAACUACAAGAUUAUAUAUUUAUUCCUUAAUAAAUCAAUAAUUAGCUUUUGAGAUAGCUAAAUCAAUCAUUAGCUCUUGAGACUAUCAUGGUUCAUUAUUCAUUGUAAGAAUAAGUAGAAGAGAGACAACUAAGAUUAAUAAAAUUUGAAAAAAAAAAUUAUCAAGAAUUAGAUCAAUCUAAAAGACAUACAGUGAUGUAACCAUUACCCAAAAGUCGAUGAAGAUGAUUUUUUAAAAGAAAUACUAGACUAUAAGUGCCUUAUCUAUCUAUAAAUUAUUUUUUUUAAAAAAAAAUCACUGUUAUUAUUAUUAUCAUCAUCAUCAUCAUUAUUGUUAUUAUCAUCAUCAUCAAUAUUAUGACUAUUAUUAGUAUUAUUACUAUCAGUAGUAUUAUUACUAUUAGUACUAGUAUUACCAUUACUAGUAAUAUUACUAUUAUUAGUAUCAUUGCCAUUAUCAGCUUUAUUACUAUUAUUAGCACUAUUAUUAGUGUUACGGGGGAAAUAAGCCGCCAUGCCCCACGUGACCGGCACGCGCGCCCAGGAAGACUAUNNNNNNNNNNNNNNNNNNNNNNNNNNNNNNNNNNNNNNNNNNNNNNNNNNNNUAAUUAGUAUUAUUAUUAUUAUUGGCAUUAUUACUAUUAUUAAUAUUAUUAUUAUCAUUACUAUUAUUACUAUAAUUAGUACUUUCCUAUAAUAGCAUUAUUACUAUAAUUAGCUUUAUGACUAUAAUUAGCCGUUUUACUAUUAAUAUUAUUAUUACUACUACUACUACUAUUAUUAUCAUCAUCAUGAGAAUGGAUUCUAAAAGCCUUAUGCCUUUUUCCAACCAUUCCGUGUUUCUUAAGAGUUUGAGGAAUUCCAAUUAAUAAGAGUUUGAAGGCCUGAAUGUCUAGAUGCGUCUAGAGUUUGAAGACUUUUCACGUUAUAAAUAAAAUAUGCCUAGACAAACCAGUUCGGUGAGGAUGGUAGUGAGAAUAUUGAACUUGGCUAAAUUUUGGCUGCUGAUAUGGUGCCUUUUUUGCUUGGUAUCUAGGGAUGGGAAAAUUGCUGUAGACCGGUUAGCUAAAUAUGCCUAAAGAAACCAGUUUGGCGAGGAUGGUAGUAAGAAUAUUAGACUCAGCUGAAUUUUGGCUACUGAUGUAGUGAAUUUUCUGUUGGAUUCUUUCUUUAAGAGCCCAAAAAAUCAAAUAUCCAAAAAAGCAAAACCUGUUUGAUUCUGUUUAUAGCAGAUUAUGAAUGGAUACAUUAUGUUACUAUCCACAACUGUGAAAAGGAAUUUUGGAACAGAAUUUGUAUUUCUCUAAAUUGAAAUCAUGGCAUUGGAAAAGGAAAUCCAGGAUUUGGAGUGGUCUGCCACCUCAUAAAAGCAAAUAUUUUAGAACUGGGCAGAAAAUUUACCGAAUGGCUCUUACUUUAAACAGGAAGUGAAGCUGUGAGAAUAUGGCUGAGGGCUUCAGCCAACUUAUCCAAAAUCUUUAAUUGUUGCCAGCGAAUUCAAUAUUAAAGUGUCCUUCUUCAGAAAAUAGGCAAGUCUUUUAUUUCUUUGUGAUUCAAUGGACUUUAAGCCGUGUAUUAAAAUUCUAUUUUUAUGGGUCUUUUGAGCAAUUUGGUAGUUCUUCUACAGCAAAGAAGAAACCUGGAAGGCUUAAGAGGAGACUAGUUAGCAGUGUUUGGAGAUUGUUUAUCUAAGAUUUUUCCUUUAAUAUAACCAUCUUGUCUGAGUGAUUUAAACUUAAUGAUCAUUUCUUCAAAAGUUGAUUCGGUGGCUAAGUCCUUUGAAUUUUUCAGUGCCUGGACUGAGGUCAUGAACUUUGUUGAUCUAUAUUGGAAUUUGAUAGUGUCAGAAAGUUAUACCCAUGGUAUAAAAUUGUUCCAAAACUGAAGGUGUGAAGGGGAAACUAAAAGAAAGGAGCAGAAAGAAUUUUCAAAUCUGUAUUGUUAAUGUGGAAAAGACUUAAAUUUAGAUUGAACAGUAUAUGAAUUCUCCAACUGGCUUCUCAUGAUCAGAAAAUGCUGUCAAGAAAAACAAAUCUUGAUAAAUAAGUAUAUGAGGAUAUCUAGUUUGAAGAAUGAUACUUUUUUCACCACAAACAAAGAAUGAUACUCUGGCUAAAUUCAAGGAUAUCAUGGCUGUUUAUUGGUGGUUAAAAAUUCAGCUUCUAUGAUCCUGCAAAUCUUGUUGGUUGAUAUAAGUCAUGUCUAGGUUUUAAGAAUUAAGUGAAUUGUUAUUUUUGAAUAUUUGUCCAGCGAUACUUGUCUAUUUUUCUGGAUUAUGGUGUGUGUGCAUUGAAACCGAAGCUUUCUUACCAAGAACAAGAAGGGUUUUAAGUGAUGAGUGAAACCUUUGCAUCACCAGAAGACAUAGUUUUUUCCGUGCCAUAUUUUCUGACCUCUUUGAGUUCAACAUGUUGUGUAGGCUCAGCAUAUAAUAUAAAUUGUAUCAUCUAAUUACCUGGUCAAAAUCAUUGCACAGAAAUAGGAUUUCUGGAGCUCAGUAGAUAGUGCACUGAAAAAGAUUUAAGAAUCGUUUUGCAUGUCCGACUAAGUUUUCUUCAUAAUUGUUUGUUUAACCGGCAUUCCAGUUCUAUUUAAGCAAUGUCAGCUAUUUUUUGAGAUAAUAUAAUGCUGCAAUUUGUUACUGUAACCAGGCUAACCUUGAAACAAUAUGCUCGCACUAGUUUUUUGUUUUUUUCGUUUUUUCCAGUCACAGCAGUCUGGAAGUCGAAGUGCAGACUCAGCAAUGGCAUGCCAGAAACUGAAGGGAAACCUUCAGAUGGUGUUCCAUGUCCUUCCCAAGGACAUGCAACAGCUCCUGCUCUUCAAUCCUAAAAGAGCGGCACUUCUUCAAGGUAGCCCAGAACCCAACAAGGUUCCAGGACAUCCUUUUGUACAGGGUAACUUGGUUUCUGAAACAAAGUCAUCUUUUUUGCCACUGUGAAAUUAGCAGCCUUUCUUAGCAUUGAAUGGCCCCUAGCAAUUCCUUCUCAUUUUCAAUUGUAUAUUUUUUGUGUGCUAUAAUUUCCUUAGGUUCAUUACUGAAGCAGUUGAGGUGCAAACUGAUUGCUUCAACAAUGGCAGGUCACUGCAUAUUUACCUACAUAUUUUUAUUUAAAUGAUUUUGUUUGGAGCAGAGGAGAAUGCAGGGUUUCCGUUACAGUACAUUGAACUUCCUGUGUUAGCUAGCAUUCUGUCAUUUUUAUUAUUGACCGCAAGAUGAUAGCUUUUUCAGCUAUAUUUUAGGUUAGAUUUACUUGUUUAUUUAUUUUAAUAAUUUUUAUUAUUAUUAUUGUUAUUAUUAUUAUUAUUAUUAGGAGAUAAAGAUCCUCUGCCCAAGUUACUCUUUUUUAUGGUUAAAAGUGGAGGAAUAUAAGAUGCUCUUUUCAGCAUCAAUUAUCCUAAGAAAUUUGCUUACAUUGGUUUUUUUUGGUACAUCGGUAGCUCAUACACAAUAGGUAUGAGUACAGCCCACAGAGUCAGACAUUAAAAGAAAAUGCAAGGAAGACAAAACAGAGACAUGGUUCUUCCAGAUAAAAUCUACAGAAUGAUGAACUGCACAGGAUGCCACCCAAUCCGCAACGUUGUUAGCCUCUCUGUAGACAUGGGUAGCCCGAAAGACGACACAUUCAUCUAAAAAUUGUCGAUUGUCGAAGAGCAACCGCAUCCCCCUGACAGUAUUUCCAGGACCCAUUCAUCUAGUAAACCUUGAACUAUCUAGGAGUCCCUUAAUUUUACAAAUCAAAACAGAUUUUGCAUAAAAAAUCUGGCUAUGUAUAAUCUUUACUUUCUUUAUAAAAGAAAUGUAAUGAUAUAAUGGAUAAGCUUCUCAAGCUGUAGUAUUUGACAUGUGUAUAUGUAGAUUUAUACUCUUAAGCUUCUAUUUUCACUCCGACUUUUGAAGUUUUUAACGAAUUACAAACUUAUAUCCAUGCCAAAAAUAAUAAAUAAAUAAAUAAAAUUUGAUGGAUAACUCGCUUUUUCUUAGCCCAUUAUCAGAACAAUCCCUUUGAAAAAAGACAGCUAUGACCAUGAGUAUUUUUAUAAAUGGGAGAGUGCCUGACAACUCUCUCUCUCUCUAGNNNNNNNNNNNNNNNNNNNNCGACACUCUCUCUCUCUCUCUCUCUCUCUCUCUCUCUCUCUCUCUCUCUCUCUCUCUCUCUCAAUAUUUUCAGUUAAAUGAUAAAUGGAUUUUUUUUUUGUAACAACACAUACUCCUUUGGUGAUCCAUGUUUUCACUUUCCUUACUUAGGGUUAUGAUAAUAGCAUACACCAAGAUUAAUCAUUGUUUAAUUUUAAAGGCCCAGUAAACUGGUCAUUAACUAGGCAAUAGGGAGCAUUUUGUUUCUAUGUACAAAAUGGUAUAUCCUAAUUGUGUUUUUGCAAAAAAGGACUGUUGGGAUUGGGCUGAAAGAUGAGGAUUAAGAUGUCAAGAUCCCCCUAUACUAGGAGGAGCUUUUCUUAUUUCCUGGAGUAAAACUGUAAAACUUAUAUUAAUAAUGGAUCUCAUGAUAUUUAUUUUUAUAUCUGUAUCCAAAGAAUCGUAAUAUAUCUCCACCUGUUUUUCUUUCAGAAGUAGCUUGCGAGCAAAUUUUGUUACAAAACUUUCACAUUUUAAUUCUUAUUUUCUAAUGAGGUACACCUCAAGUUUUACCAUAUACGACCAAGAUCUAGGUUCAGUCUUGCACUUCUUGCUGGUUAAAGGACAUUGGUGGAGGUAUACAUUCAAACUAAUAUUUAGAUGUUGUUCUUUUACCGGCUUUGGAUUUGGAUCUGAAUCUUCUUUUUUCUUUGUUUUCAAAUCUUCCAUGUUUUUUUUCUAAAAACCGCUCCAUGAAGUGCACGAACAUUAAGAGAAUAUAAUAGCAAAAGUGAGGGUAUAUUUAUCAAAUAGCUAUUAUGUUUCUUCUCAUAUGCACAUCUUGAUAACAUAAAUAAUAGUUUAAGUAGAAAAAUAUUUUUCUCUUAAUUCAAAACUAAGGUUUGCCGCAUUGAUUGAUUCUCUAACCAUCAUAACAUUAUAAUUCCAUAAUAUAAUUUUUUUUCUAAAGACUGUUAAAACUUUUUUUUUUUGGCUAAAACGGAAGAACCAUAUAAUGUGUAUGCAUGAAUGCUGCCAAUAAAAUCAAAAAAUAAAACAUUACGGAGGGCACUAAGUAACUCCGCCUCUCUAUAAAGUGGAGUUAAUAUCCUCCUUCACUAUAAAGCGUACAUUGUUUUUGCAUUAUGGCCAUUUUACUGUGUGACAUGAUGAAUAUCUCAUAGCAAAGCUUUUUAAGUUUCUAAAUUAAAUGAGAAGUUUGAUCAUGAAAUAUGUUAUAUUUGAUCCAAGGGUAUUGAACGCAUUUCGCUGGCUGGAAGUGGCAAAACACGGGUUGGUUAGGUCUGAUUUUCUCAAACUGAUUUCUGAACUACCUACUAUAUACCAAAUCCUUAUUAACCAAUUAAAAAAGCAUAUUCAUAAUUUCUUAAGGAGACAUAACGUAGUUGAAUUUAGUUAGGCUACGACUAAUGUCAGUUAAGUCAAGCUCAGAUGGAUUGAUUUGGGUCAAGUUGUGCUAUAAUUGCGUUUUGGGUAGGGGCCGGUUUGAGUUGGCAAUAACAAGGGCCAAAUUUGGGUUCGAUUGGAUUGAGAGAACAAUAUGCUGCUCAAGCCUUCAACUCAACUUGGUCCAACACUCCAACUUUAACUCAAACUGAUAUUUACCGAUCUAAACUCAAAGCUGUGAUCGGUAUAUUGGCCAAAAUAAUCCAAUUUAUGGGCUUGGAUUAACCCAGUCCAAUAUGCAACUGCAAAGGAACAAAAUCAGGCAUUUUGACCAUGGCCAAGAGACAUUUGCCGCGGGCCCAACCUGGAGACUAGUCUACAAUACAAGACUGUAUAAAACACUCUUUAAUUUCAUGUUUUUUCCCUGCAUCAACCACCUGGGUAUCUUUUUCGCUUAGGUGUUACGGCUGUCGGGAGUAGAAAGGAUGGUGUUGGGUGCCAAAUGCGGCACGUCGCUGCUGCUGUCGUCCUCUUUCCUUUUCUGUGAAGAGUGCUUGGUCCUCAUUCACUAGUUUUCACUGCCGUAUGUGGUGGUCUUUUUAUUGACUCGUUUGGUUGGUAAAAAAUAAUUUUUUUUCUAAAAAUAUAAUUCUUGAGAAGUAGACUUUUCAAAAAAAAAUAUCUAAAAAAAUAUUUUUGAUAUUUUUGGUUAAUAAUAAAAAAAUGACAGAUUUACAGAGUGCUUAUAUUUGGUUGACUAUCCACUUUUCUGAGAAAGUUAUAUGUAAUUCUUAUUAUACUCUUAAUAAAAAUUAGGUUUUUAAUGCCUCUUUAAUGCUGAAGGGCUUUUUUAGAAAAAAUAAAAAUGGAGUGAUUUCUGACUCAUGAAAAAGUAACUUUCCCAUAUUUCUUAUAGAAAAUUUUUUUUCAUAAAAUGUAGGAAUCAUAUUUCCAUAGGAAUCCAACUUUUUUGUCUCUCUCAUUUGAAAACUCUAGCCAAACAAAAGGCAUCUCAUUACUUUUUCGUUGACUACACUUUUUCUUCUUUUUUUUUCUGCGAACCAAAUGAUCCCUAUAUCUCUACCGGUCUCACUGUAGCUUUGCAUAUAAAACCCCCUCAUAUGACUAUAACAAUGUAAGAAAAUCUUCUCACACUUUUGCUAAAAUAAUACUGUAAAUCAAGAAAUAGCUUGCAUGCAAGAGUUGAAGUUUCGAAUUAUUUGGAUUCUAAGCAGUAUAACUCUCAAAAUAUUUUGACAGCAUUUAUUUUUGGGAAAAAAAUUGGGUGCACCAACCUGGCCGAGCAUCAUGUCAGGCAGGUCAUCUUAUUUUUCAGGUCAAUCAUUGAAAUGAGCGCAUAAUGAAUAAAAUCCAAAGAAAUGAGAGAAUCUAAUUCGCAUAGCACAUAACUACGUGGUGCAUGAUAUAAUUUUUCCACAAAAUCUAGAAGCAGCCAGGACUUACAACUCUCAUUUCCCAAUAAAUAAAUAAAUAAACAUUAAAAAUUAGAUCCCAUCGCAUCCAGCGGUGGUCCAAAAGCUCCUCCACCCUUCUGGAUACCCAAGAGGUGACGCACCUCGUUUCAUUGGACAAACCAUUUUGGUCCUUCCCUUGAAGACAAACAUAUCACCUCCGCCUCCCUCCAAAGAUGACCGCCACCGCUGAGCUCGGCUGCAGCAGGGGCCCGGCCCUUGUCAUCGGCGCCACCGGCUAUAUCGGCCGCUUCGUGGCGGAGGCAUGCCUUGAGAGCGGGUGCGCCACCUACAUCCUCGUCCGCCCCGGCUCGGCGUGCCCUGCACGGGCUGCCACCGUCGAUGCUCUCCGAGCGAAAGGUGCCAUCGUCCUCGAGGUGAAACCCUGCAUGCUGUUUUCUUCCAGUUAUAACCAUGUUACAUAGGAUAUCAGAGACCACACUUGAGCUGAUGAUACGAAGCUUUCAGGGAUCCGCAAAUGAUAACGACUUCAUGGAGAGGAAGCUGAGAGAGGAAGCCAUCGAGGUGGUUAUUUCAGCGAUGGGCGGUCCUCAAAUUCUCGACCAGCUCAACCUGCUCGAGGCCAUUAAAGCCGUCGGCUCCAUCAAGGUAGCAUGACCGCAUGUCUCCUUGUCUCAGCUACUUAUAUGUGCCUUCAAAUAUAACUUCUUUUAAACCAAUCCUUAUUUGUACCAAAAUUAAUAACCUGCUAUAUUUUUAUAGUCUUAGAGCUGAUGAUUCUCCUGUAGUUCUAUAUUUUUUUUCUUUUCACAAUUUCCAUCUGUAUAACAUGCGAUCUUGUAGCAUUCUAUUCAAGACGAAUUUAGCCUACCUUAAUAUGUUAUAAAAAGCGUGUUUCUUUCCUUCCAGAGGUUUUUGCCUUCAGAGUUUGGUCACGACAUCGAGAAGGCUAACCCCGUGGAGCCUGGCCUGAGUUUCUACAGGGAGAAGAGGAAAGUCCGUCGUGCCAUUGAGGCUGCAGGGAUCCCUUACACCUACAUCUGCUGCAACUCCAUUGCCGGCUGGCCUUACCACAACAACACCCACCCGUCGGAGAUUACUCCACCACUGGACCGGUUCCAGAUCUACGGUGACGGCAACGUUAAAGGUAUAACUUCUCCUGGGUACUAUAUCUUUUGCUACGAGGACAAAGAAAAAAAAAAAAUCUUGCGACGUGUUGCUUAUCGGUUGCUGCUGUCUCUUUUCUAGUUUUCUAAUCAUUGCUCAUGGUUGGAUUUGCAAGUUCAUGUAUUUAAUACUAAUGUUAUCUGUAAGAAUAUUCGCGUAUCAAAAGCUUCAUCUAAUUAAAAAAAACAAAGUGAUCGUAGGUCUCACGCGUCAUUUCAUGCAUUAUUUAGAGGAGAGGACUAGUCCCAUCCAAAUAUUCCGUGCAAGCAAAAAAUAAUUAUUUUACUCUAAUAAGAAAAGGGAUUCCAGAUUUGGUAUAAUGGAAAACUGAUCUUGUAUUUUUCACAAUUAAUUUCUAUAUUGGAAAACUACCAAAUUUGUAAUCAUAGAAGUAUAAAAUAUACAAGUCUACAAAAUUAAAAAAAAUAAAUAAGAGAUGAUCUUGCAUGGUUGGAAGUUCGUUGAAUAAGACCUUGCAUCGUGGAAGUGUGCUGAAGAAAAAAGAAUCUUGUGCCUAGGUUUGGUAGGUAUCUAUCAUACUCAAACUCUCAUGCUUAUAGAGGAUGAUUUUUUUUUGAGCCAAUCUUGGGGUUUAGAAAAAAAUCAAAAAAUUUUAAAAGAUGACUAUAUAUGAGUUGUCACUCUGAUAAGAAAAAAUCUCAAAAGAAAAAUUCUAUUAUAUGCUGCAAUUCAGAUCACACUACAUGUAAUUAUCUUUUUCUACAUAUUUAUUAUAUUAUUAAAAUGUAAUUCAUUUUUUGGUAUUUAUUAUACUAUUAGUGAAAGGCCAAGCUAACUUUUAAAAACAUUGUUAUUUUAUACUAUGAUUAUAAUGUCUAUCAGAAGGAAAUUAGGAGUAACGAUACAGUGGAUUGAGUGGAGUUUCCGCUAUACAAAACUAAUUUUUUUAAAAAAAUAUGUGAAGGUAAUUAUAAAAAAAUAAAUAUUAGAGAAAAUAUAAAAAUAAAUAUAGCAAAAGUAAUUAUUCGUACUUGUGACGGUUCUUUCUCGCCCACCUCCACUUGGAGCCAAGCAACUGAGAGGGACAUGGCUCGGAAAGCCAUCACAGCUCACGACGUAGUACUUCCGUCUUCGGCCGAAUUUUAAAAAAAAGAAUUACAUAAAUAUCUUUUAAAUAUCAAAUUAUGUAUGAAUAUUUUUUAAAAUUAAUAUUUAUAUAUAUAUUCUCAUAAAAUACUGAUUUUUUAUUCUAUUUUUUAUCUUUAUUUUUGCAUAUAUAUCCACGUCACCUAAUAUUGUUAAAAAUUUGAUAGUUUCAAAUUAAAAUUACUAAAAUAUUUUUAAUAGGUACACAUGCAAAAAAAAUAUAUUUAUAAGACGAUCACGAUAGAAAACAAAAAAAAUAAUUUCAAAAUUUUAUUUUUUAAUAAAAAUAAAUAUAGUUUUUAUUAAUGGUACUAGAAGAAUCAUUAUAUUAGAAAUAUUUGUGCAAAAACUGUAUUUUAUGAUGGUACAGAAAUAAAUAAAAUUUUAAAAAAGUAUUCAUACAAAUUUAAAUUUUUAGAAGAAUAUUUAUAAAAAAAUUGAAAAAUAUAUUUACAAAUAUAUUUAUAAUAAAGUGAUAUAAUAAUUCUAAAUUUAUCAAAAAAAUAAAAAAUAUAUAUAUUAUAUACCAGAAAAAUUUUAUGGCCCCGCACCCAACGCCCAUCGCCUUCACGAAAGCUAGGCGAGCGGCCAUAAAAUAAUAUCAUGAGCUCAGCCAUUAAGACCAGCCCAUGGCUAUGAGAGUUCUAAUGGCGUUAUUAAUUUCAACAUGCAAACGCUAGCAAAUCAGGGGCGUGAUGAUGCCCAAAUCUUGUAUCAGGUCUGCCCGCGUUAAAAUUAGGCUGUCAAGUGUACGAAAAACAGUCCAUACUUUUUAUAAAAAAAUACUUUUAUUUACAAGUGCUUGACUUUAUGAGCUUGCAUAAUUUAUUUAUCUAUUUAUUUAUUUUGAUUGGUUCCACUAGGAAGAUUACAUCUGGCUUGCACUACUGCAAGGCCACUAAGAUAGGGUCUUCUAGCUGUUGGCUUCGGUGGCAAUCUCGCAUACCUUUCAUUCUUCUUCUCAAGGAAAGUAAAAAAUAUUAUUUUGUGGAGAAAAUUAUUAAAAAUUUUCUUACAAAUCCAUAAUAUGGACUUACGUAGCCAUAAUAUGAGUUAUCAUUAUAGUUUUAGCUGUGAUCGACUUGAUAUAAGUACAAAAAUAAAGCCAUUCACCAAACUCCUUUCGUUUUGUUUGUCCUGCAGCUUUCUUUGUUGCUGGGUGUGAUAUUGGGAAAUUCACAAUCAAAGCAGCAUAUGACUCUCGUACUCUCAACAAAACCGUUCAUUUCCGCCCAGCUUGCAAUCUCCUUAGCUUGAAUGAAAUGGCUUCGAUGUGGGAGAGUAAGAUCGGACGGACCCUGCCGAGAGUUUCCUUGACUGAGAAGGACUUGCUUGCCGUGGCAAAAGGUUGGAAACAUCUUGGUCUUUUCCAUAUACUAGAUAUCCAAAAAUUCAUAAUAUUUUUAGGCUUUUGCAGCAUGAAGUUAAUUUGUUGUAAACUGGUGUCGGUGGACCAAGCACGCCCAAUUAGUAAUUUAUGAUUCAACCUGCAACCAACCAGCUUUAAGUAGGUUCAUGAUUAGCAGAAAUAGAUUCGAAUCACAAAUGGAUCAACCUGCCUAGAUUCUUUAAUCUGUCUAGCCGAGUUUUGUUUAAUAAUUAGAUCAAGUCAAUAACCCGACAUGUUUAAGCGGUUUAACUCAUUUAAAACUUAUUUAACUAGUUUUUGUCCAAUUUAACAUGACCCAUUUAACUAGUUUAACCUGUUUAAACUCAUGUGACCUAUUAAAAAUCCACUUAACCACCUAUUUAACCCAUUUAAUCUGAAUGGAUCUAUUUAACAGAUGGGCUACAUGGCCUAGUUAGGUUACUUAUUUAAUAAAUGGGAUGAAUUUAGAUUUGAAUUUUUGACAUGUUUAAUAAAUAGAUUGAUUCUAGAUUGAUAAUUUUCUUUUAUAUAACCUACAUCUAACCCAACUCAUAUCAAACUUGACCUAACCCAAUUACCACCCCCUAGUUAGCUCGAAUAGAUCUCUUCGGAAAGAUCUAGACUUGGACUACAAAAUUAGAACCAUACACAUUCUGAAUUUUCGUUAAUGCUGGCUUCCUCAAAUAACUAUUCCCCUCCAAAAACCACUAUUAUCAAUUACAAUAUAAAUAGAGGCUGCUUCUAAUCCCUGUUAUUAACUAGGUUUAUUUAGAAAUGCAAUAGUAACAUACUCUUAUUAAUGACAAUCACCGACCAUUAUAAUAUGAAAUAAUGGAUAGUAACAAAUAAAUAAUAGUGUUAUUUAAUUAUGGCAUUUUUCAAUGAAUAAAAUCUUUUCUAACUGGCAGAGUGAUUUGGAUGUUUUUUAAAAAAUAUUUUUAAAAAAAUUAAAAAGAUAUUUUCAGUGCAGACAGGCAAGCAAAAAUGACAAAUACUGACCAUUAUUCUCCUUAUCUGCAAUAACAAGAAAGCUAACUAAAACUCCUUAUUUAAAAUCUUAUUAUAGAACAUAACAGAGGCCUUCAUAACAAUUAUAAAGCCGAGUCUUGGGCACUGAGUCAGGCCACCAUCAUUCCAAACCCAGCCAGGUCUGUUCUUGGAGAACCAGCUGUUUCCGUUGGUCAAGUUUGGGCAUCGAUCAGUACAGGCCAAGUCCAGGUCUGGUGGUUUUGUCUUGGCCAUUUAGCUAAGCUAGAAUCAUGUUGCAGACUGUGAGACAACAGAGACAACAUCGAGUGAAAGCACUGAAAUGGAUACUGAAUUGUGGAGGCUAACAAUUUUCUCAGCAACAUGUCUCAUAUGAUAACAUCUAUAGAAUCUCAAGACUAACCAAAUCACAUUUUGUUU